Chelonus insularis is the source of this 311-nucleotide long non-coding RNA. RefSeq lists it as uncharacterized. NCBI's taxonomy places the organism in Eukaryota, Metazoa, Arthropoda, Insecta, Hymenoptera, Braconidae. The transcript is spliced from 3 exons. The record is from RefSeq and is a predicted model, not a curated record.
CAGCUACUGAAGCUUUUAAGGAGCUUUUUAUAUUUACCUGAGGCUGCAGGUGUGUAACCUGACGCUUGAUGUGUGCCAAUGUUGCUGUUGGCGGUGGAUGUAACGCCAUGUUUGCAAAUACAAGCCUUUCUUCAUAAUCAUAUUCACAAAGAAUUUUAUUUUCACAUAAAUAAAAUCUAUCUCCAACGCAGAACCUGAACACUUUGGAAGUUAAUUUGAUGGAAGAAGACUUAAAAAUCAAACUCGGAAAUCAACUAUUUAUUGAGCAACGCCCAAGAUUUGUUAGCAAACAACAAGAAACCAUAGAUGAC